Long non-coding RNA from Lathyrus oleraceus (garden pea), 792 nucleotides. RefSeq lists it as uncharacterized. The transcript has 2 exons. Lineage: Eukaryota; Viridiplantae; Streptophyta; Magnoliopsida; Fabales; Fabaceae. The record is from RefSeq and is a predicted model, not a curated record.
AGAACAAUUCACUCCUUCCAUUUGUUUCAAACAUGUUUUGAGAGCCUCGCCUGGGCAAAAGCUUCGACAUGCCGGAAAUCACUUAUGGCGGCGGAGGUCCAAACCCAUCAAAUUGUUCGUCGUAACUCCCUCAUUCACAAUCCAUCAACAUUUUUCUUUAAUUCCUAAUCACUGAUUCGAACCGAGGCAACAUAACUAUGAACCCUAUGUAUCAGAUUCCAAAAUUAAAUGGUGUAGAGGAGGAAUCAAAGCCUAAAUCGUUAGGGCUUUGAUUCCUCGGGUCGAAUUCUACAUGGGUGGUAACGUGAAUCAAUGUGAAUGGAUGAAGAAGAAGAGUUGCCUACCUACGAGUCGGAUAAGGGCCCCGGUUUUAUAGGAAUUGGCGUAGACGAAGCGAAAAAUAAAGGACAAUCACAAAUGUUCAGGUUUAGGCAUGACCUAUGGGAGUGAUCAAUAUUGGCAAUGGUCAAAGUUGGCAAGACAUGGGUCAAGGUGCUUUCAUGAAGGGACUUUGGAUACCUAAAGAUCCAUGCGGGGUUUUAGGCAAAAAAGAGAAGGCUUAGGAAUGGAGAAUAAGGAGGAUUAUGGUUCAAGAUAGGUAGUUGACUUUGGUCAAUUGUUUGAUCAAAAAUUGUUUGAUCAAAAAGUCAACAGUUGACCAAAAGUCAAUUUAAGUCAAAAUUACGGUUUUUUGUAUAAUGUUUGAAAUUUUAAAUUUUUGUAAUGAAAUGUUUGAUAUUGUAAUGAUAUUGACCUUUGAAAAUGAAUUGUGUCAUGUGCUUUGAAAUUUAA